UAGUACAAAACCCUUUGGUCUCCACUUUGUCUCUCUUAAGUCUUCCCAUAAAACAGAGCAGAGAAGGUAAAACCCAAAGUUUGAAAACCAUCAAAAAUGGUUCAAAGGCUCACUUACCGUACUCGCCAUAGCUACGCUACCAAAUCCAACCAUCACCGUGUCGUUAAGACCCCUGGUGGGAAAUUGGUCUAUCAGACAACUAAGAAAAGAGCAAGUGGGCCUAAGUGUCCUGUCACUGGCAAGAGAAUUCAGGGUAUUCCUCACUUGAGACCUGCUGAAUACAAAAGGUCUAGAUUGCCAAGGAACCGCCGGACUGUGAAUCGUGCUUAUGGUGGUGUUUUGUCCUCCAGUGCUGUUAGAGAGAGGAUAAUUCGAGCCUUCUUGGUGGAAGAGCAGAAAAUUGUGAAGAAGGUUCUGAAGAUCCAGAAGUCCAAGGAAAAGCAAGCUUCAAAGAGCUAAGAAAUUAGAUGUCGAAUCAUCAUUUCAAUUCUGAUAUGUGAUCAGCAAGGCUUUGGAAAGUGCCACCAAUGACUUCAGAAGAUUAGAGGUGGCAAAGACUGUAGGGAGCAUGGGAGGGAGUGAGUUUGGAUGAUGGUGGCAAGGAUGAAUCGGGAAGGGGAAGCAAAGUCAUGGUGGAUCUAGUGAAGAAGUGAUGGGUAAUUGUAAUAAUCUUGCUGGAAGAAGAUGAAAGAGAAAAUGGAUGACCAAACUCUUUGUAUAAUUUUAAUAUGAAUUAUAAGACCAAAUUAAGUUUA
This is an RNA transcript of Gossypium raimondii (Peruvian cotton), 755 nucleotides long. It is a transcript of the gene named 60S ribosomal protein L34, with no coding region annotated. The record is from RefSeq and is a predicted model, not a curated record. NCBI's taxonomy places the organism in Eukaryota, Viridiplantae, Streptophyta, Magnoliopsida, Malvales, Malvaceae. The transcript is spliced from 5 exons.